GGCUAUAUAUAUGUAUCUAUACCUGGCCGUUGCUUAACUCCGUGAUCAGCGUGGCAUGGACCAUGCAGAUCCAGAACUCCCCGUGCUCUUGGCAGCCGCCGGGGCCGCGGCAGCGGCGGCGAUCGUACGCAAACACGAGUACGUGCCAUGUUUUCCCUACCGACAUCAAUCAAUUACAUAAUUGCUAUUGAUUUGGAGUUUGAAGUUUGCUUUGUUGGUUUUGGUUCUUCCAUCGUGUACUCCAUGAAAAAUAUUACUAUUAAUUAUUCUCUUUAUUGGUCUGCUCCUGUGCCAAGGUUUCCAAAAAUUUGUUGAUCGUUAAUUUGUUCUUCCUUCAAUUAUGCAUAGAAUUCAGCUGGUCGAUCCAUCUCAGAUGCGCGCCGGUCUGUGCGCGCUUCUUCUUCCUUCUCGUUUUAUGACCUCUCGAUCUUUGCCUUCAUUUGCAGCAGAUGGAACAAAUGGCUCACCCUGCAGCAAUCAACCACACCAAGCGACAGAGAUUUCACAAGGCGUUGGCAGUGCGAUACCACACGUUGAUCUUCCAGAGGUGCGCGCGCGCAGCUAAUUACCUUUUUUUAGUGGAUAGCCAAAUCCGUUUUAUUUUGCGGCAGCUAGCCUCCAUGGUGAUAAAUUGUCGCAUAAUUUUGUAGGUUACGAUCCCGGGAAAUUUGUACCAUAAGAUCUUUGUGAUCUAAUUAAAUUUGAAACACCUGAUUUUUGUUCCACCUCUAGGAUAUUCCAUUUAUACUGGAAAGUAACAUUUUUUUAGUUUCCAAGUAAAUGCUCAUUCUGUUUCUCUAUGUUUGUUUAUAGCACACCAUGUGCACAAAUCAAGGAAAUAUGAGUUCUAACAAAAAAAAUGUCAAUGUGAAUGAGUGAAUGACCAUGCAUGCUCUUAUUAAAUAGCAUGAUACAACUGUCUCGUUUUUUUCCGAAGCACUUAAUUAGAGGGUGUAUGGUAGAAACAUCGCAAUUACUAUACUCUUGAUAUCCACAAUGGAUAAACAUUGUGAGACAUAUUCCCCCGAGGCCUCGGACAAACAUAGCGAAACUGAGGGAGUAUAGUGUGACUAAAAAUCUAGAUGUUGAACUCCUAAAAAGUACCCUAAUAUUUGCAACACUUUGAUUUUAGUGUUAAAACACCUAAAAAUACCAAAAAUAUUUUAAAAAUUGAGUAGCAUGGAUGCUAGGAGGUCAAAAAGUACCAGGUGUUAAAUUUGAGGAUAAAUCAUGUCCUCGUUGUAUUUCUUCAAUUAUGAUUUUUUUAUUUAAUUUCUUUAUCUUUUUCAUUAUGUGUUUUAUUAUUUAGUGACAAGGAAAACUCCUACGAUUAUAUCUACAGUUGCAUACGAUGUUACCUUUUCUCACAUGCACUGCUUGUGCAGGAUGUCUUGCAGCACAUACAUUCCUUGAUGCCAAUGCGAGAUGCAGCUCGUGCAGCCUGUGUGUC
RNAcentral lists this long non-coding RNA (1450 nucleotides) under Setaria italica (foxtail millet). Its description in RNAcentral is "long non-coding RNA (SITA_LNC005411)". The record is from RNAcentral. Lineage: Eukaryota; Viridiplantae; Streptophyta; Magnoliopsida; Poales; Poaceae.